RNAcentral lists this ribosomal RNA (497 nucleotides) under uncultured bacterium. Its description in RNAcentral is "partial 16S ribosomal RNA". It matches the Rfam family "Bacterial small subunit ribosomal RNA", at positions 28 to 507 of the family's 1533-position model. The record is from RNAcentral.
GAUGAACGCUGGCGGCGUGCCUAAUACAUGCAAGUCGAGCGAACAGACGAGGAGCUUGCUCCUCUGACGUUAGCGGCGGACGGGUGAGUAACACGUGGAUAACCUACCUAUAAGACUGGGAUAACUUCGGGAAACCGGAGCUAAUACCGGAUAAUAUAUUGAACCGCAUGGUUCAAUAGUGAAAGACGGUUUUGCUGUCACUUAUAGAUGGAUCCGCGCCGCAUUAGAUAGUUGGUAAGGUAACGGCUUACCAAGGCGACGAUGCGUAGCCGACCUGAGAGGGUGAUCGGCCACACUGGAACUGAGACACGGUCCAGACGACUACGGGAGGCAGCAGUAGGGAAUCUUCCGCAAUGGGCGAAAGCCUGACGGAGCAACGCCGCGUGAGUGAUGAAGGUCUUCGGAUCGUAAAACUCUGUUAUUAGGGAAGAACAAAUGUGUAAGUAACUAUGCACGGCUUGACGGUACCUAAUCAGAAAGCAACGGCUAACUACGUG